CAGUAGCCGCGGGAAUACGUAGGGUGCAAGCGUUAAUCGGAAUUACUGGGCGUAAAGCGUGCGCAGGCGGUUAUAUAAGUCAGAUGUGAAAUCCCCGGGCUCAACCUGGGAACUGCAUUUGAGACUGUAUGGCUAGAGUGUGUCAGAGGGGGGUAGAAUUCCACGUGUAGCAGUGAAAUGCGUAGAUAUGUGGAGGAAUACCGAUGGCGAAGGCAGCCCCCUGGGAUAACACUGACGCUCAUGCACGAAAGCGUGGGGAGCAAACAGGAUUAGAUACCCGGGUAGUCCCUGUCUCUUAUAC
This 301-nucleotide ribosomal RNA is filed under the name uncultured bacterium. Its description in RNAcentral is "partial 16S ribosomal RNA". It matches the Rfam family "Bacterial small subunit ribosomal RNA", at positions 509 to 807 of the family's 1533-position model. The record is from RNAcentral.